CCCCAUUAGCAGUGUGCUGACGGCAGCUGUACGUCCGGACUGGCCCCGUUCAGGAGGGCAGCGCUGGGUACUCCUGCCCAAACCUCCAGGAGCUCCCUUCAGACCAAAGCCAGCUUCUCUUCCACCAACAAUCUGUGAACCGCUUAGGAGAGAGACCUUGCCUCCUAUUCUGGGGCCUGGUAUGGAAGCCGGCACAAAGCAGGCUCUCAGUGCCUGCUUAUGGAACUGUGCUUCUCAAGAACCUAUACGUGUUGAGCCACUCUGAGAUCUGGGAUCUCCCUGAUACGCGGCUUCCCUUUGGACACGCAGAUGAGUCACCAUCACCUGGUGAGAAUUAAAUGCGAUGACAGGUACAGAACUCUGUAAACUGUGAGGUUUUCACUGAGCUGCAAGGAGAACUGUUUUCAAUCGGAAGCUGACGUAGACCCCAACCUGGAGACAGACCAAGAUGUCCAUCAACAGCAGGAGCAUGGAC
Myotis daubentonii (Daubenton's bat) is the source of this 475-nucleotide long non-coding RNA. RefSeq lists it as uncharacterized. The record is from RefSeq and is a predicted model, not a curated record. The transcript has 3 exons. Lineage: Eukaryota; Metazoa; Chordata; Mammalia; Chiroptera; Vespertilionidae.